AGCAGCAGCCGCGGGAAAACAGAGGAUGCAAGCGUUAUCCGGAAUGAUUGGGCGUAAAGGACGCGUAGGCGGAUUAUCAAGUCUCUUGUGAAAUCUAACGGCUUAACCGUUAAACUGCUUGGGAAACUGAUAAUCUAGAGUAAGGGAGAGGCAGAUGGAAUUCUUGGUGUAGGGGUAAAAUCCGUAGAGAUCAAGAAGAAUACCCAUUGCGAAAGCGAUCUGCUGGAACUUAACUGACGCUGAGGCUCGAAAGCGUGGGGAGCAAACAGGAUUAGAUACCCCCGUAGUCCCUGUCUCUUAUAC
Molecule: ribosomal RNA, 303 nt
Filed under: uncultured bacterium
Lineage: Bacteria
Description: partial 16S ribosomal RNA
Rfam family: Bacterial small subunit ribosomal RNA
Source: RNAcentral